Mytilus californianus (California mussel) is the source of this 724-nucleotide long non-coding RNA. RefSeq lists it as uncharacterized. Lineage: Eukaryota; Metazoa; Mollusca; Bivalvia; Mytilida; Mytilidae. The record is from RefSeq and is a predicted model, not a curated record. The transcript is spliced from 3 exons.
UUUAUAUAUUAUCCAUUGUUUUCUGUACAAAGUAAAUUUUCUGAGGCACAUUGACUUCCUCUACAUUUUUUAUUACAGUAAAUCUAAAUUACAAUGGGCGUGAAGAUAUACAUAUGGGCAGAGGGAGGAGGAAAUGUAGGUCAUGGAUCGAUGACCCUAGGCGAUGGAACCCAUAUCAGCUGGUGGCCCAAGGACGACAAAGCGAAAUCUGCCAACCAAAGAUGGACAUCAGUGGAAGCAGAACCAGCAACUUCGUAUGAACAAGAUGUUGAAUGGGAAGGAAAACCAGCUGAUUUCAUAUACAAAAUUCCUUCCGGAAAACUUGAUGAGGCAGCAAUAAAAUCAUGGUGGAAUGAAUUCAAAACAACAAACAGAUAUCACAUUGUUUUUAAGAAUUGUUGCAGUGCCGUAUACAGCGCUUUGCAGAAAGGUGGAGCUGACAAGAUAGCAUCGUUUCCGAUGUCUCCUAUUUCAACACCAGCAAACCUGAAGGAAUAUGCUGAGAAACUACAAAAAGCUACAAAAUAACAAACAUUAAAUCAAAGGACAAUGAACAGCGCUGAUUUUAUUAUAUAACCAAAAAUCAUCAUAUGACAUCGUUUCAUCAUAAGAGUGUUUCUUGUACUCUUGCGUAACUCCGCUUAAAAGUUUUAAAAGUUGAUGGAUUAAAUCAACAAAGCGACAUAUAUAAUUAGUUAUCAAAUAAAAAAAAAAGUGGACAAUA